UACGUAGGGUGCAAGCGUUAAUCGGAAUUACUGGGCGUAAAGCGUGCGCAGGCGGUUCGCUAAGACAGAUGUGAAAUCCCCGGGCUUAACCUGGGAACUGCAUUUGUGACUGGCGGGCUAGAGUAUGGCAGAGGGGGGUAGGAAUUCCACGUGUAGCAGUGAAAUGCGUAGAGAUGUGGAGGAAUACCGAUGGCGAAGGCAGCCCCCUGGGCCAAUACUGACGCUCAUGCACGAAAGCGUGGGGAGCAAACAGG
This 254-nucleotide ribosomal RNA is filed under the name uncultured bacterium. Its description in RNAcentral is "partial 16S ribosomal RNA". It matches the Rfam family "Bacterial small subunit ribosomal RNA", at positions 524 to 776 of the family's 1533-position model. The record is from RNAcentral.